Non-coding RNA from Ceratotherium simum simum (southern white rhinoceros), 111 nucleotides. The record is from RefSeq and is a predicted model, not a curated record. Lineage: Eukaryota; Metazoa; Chordata; Mammalia; Perissodactyla; Rhinocerotidae.
GGUCUCUGUCACAAUUACUAACUCUGCCAAUGUAGCAUAAAAGCAGGCAUAGACAAUGUGUAAAUAAAUGAGCUUGGCUCUGUUCCAAUAAAACUUUGUAAGGAAGGCUGG